AGACUGUGCUCUUCCGAUCUCAUGGGCAAGAAAUUGGAAAGCUAAAGUUAAAAUUCAAUUGAUGUUGCAAACGAAGAAAUUGCCAAAAGACAUUAUCAUUUGUCUUGGGACAGAGUGAGUUUGCUUUCUCAUACCGCAACUUUCCUUCCUCCUCUAUUUCCAACUAUUGUGUCAACCAUGUCCAAUCCAAUCAAUGAAUUAAUGUUUUGCUAUAUUUCUAUAUGAAAUCUUAGGAAGAUGAAAAUAACCAAAUGACAUAAUGUAACAAACAGACAUAAACCAUCUACUUCCAAACAAAUUAUUUUAAAUUAGUGCAAAAUAAUCAUGGCAGAGGUUGUGAACUGGCAUAUUGGUCAUAGCCAUGACCACAAUGAUCUACAAUAUUAGGGCUCAUUCCACUUAUGCCAUAAUCUAUUGCCUAUUUGUGGUGACGUACUGUCACUCCCUCAUAUUUGUGACAAAUUAUUAGAGAGUUACCAAGGCAAGGUGAAACAAAUAACAUAUAGAACACACUCAUAUAUUUAUAAUAAGUACACAACCAUACAAAAAGAAGAAGUCAUGGGCACAAAGAUUAGAGAUUCUGAGCCCAAUAAAGCAAUAAAACAUGAAGCAUUUCAUCUC
Long non-coding RNA from Ipomoea nil (Japanese morning glory), 621 nucleotides. RefSeq lists it as uncharacterized. The transcript has 3 exons. The record is from RefSeq and is a predicted model, not a curated record. Lineage: Eukaryota; Viridiplantae; Streptophyta; Magnoliopsida; Solanales; Convolvulaceae.